AAAUUUUCUAUAGAAUUAGUCUUUAUUUUGGUAAUUUCAAUUAAAAACACUUUGAUGAAAAUCCAAAAGCCAAACCAACAAAAUGUAGGCUUGCUAAGCGCACAAUGGCCAGAUCAUUCCUUGCCUAGCGUGUUGAGGGGAAAACUCAGAAGUUAGAACAUGAGCUCUCAACUAGGUCGCCUAGCGAAAGACUCAUUACAACACAUUGGGAAACACGACCACACUUAAUUUUAACUUUCCUCACUCUUUUUUUAUCACUUCUCACUUCCCCCGUUUGCGAAAAACCUUAACAUAUACUAGAGGAUUUCAAUCAAAGGUAAAAGUUUCACCAAUCUUCAUUUUAAUCUAGUUCAGAGUUUAAUCAGGUAUGUCAAUUUACUUUAUUGUUGCUUAAACUCCCAUAUUCAUGAAUAUUGCUGCAAAAACAAAGUGGAUGUUGUGAUUUAGACAAAAAUUAGGGACACUUUAAAGCUUCAUGGUGUUAAAAUAGGAUAAGGUAGUUUUGAUUACAUGAAAAUCAAUUGGAUGCUCUAUAAUGAAAAUUGGGGGUAUUUUCAUGUGUAGAGAAACAUAUGUAUUGUUUGAAAUAUCCGUUGCAUGUAUAUUAAAAUAGCAUACCUAGAUGUUUCUAUGUCACAAUGUAGUCAUGAAAACUGUAAAUGAAGGAAUUUUAGUUAUACUUGCUAACAUGUCAAAAUUCCAUAUUUGUUGUUUGUUGAUUAUUUCAUAUGGCUUCUGGAAGAUCAUUCAUUGGACAAAAAUGACAUAGCUCAGGCACCAGUUUCAUCUUCCAUACCAUAUGAUGAACAUAGGUUUAGAAGCUUCGUUCACGAGUAAUUUUAGGCUGAACUAGAAAGUAUAAACACCAUUCAUGAAAAGACAAUUGAGUUAGAGGAUCCUGGAAAGUAUUAUGAUAUGAUGCAAUAAAUUAAAACAUGAGGUUGGGGGUGUUUUGGAAACUCUUAAUGAGUUUGUUAAUCUGGAAAUAGUGAAGUAUUUUUAUGUCAACGCCAAACCCGCUAAUGACGCACCACUAGCAAGAGUUUAUUGGGUUCGAGACAGACAAGUCUCGUAUGUUAGGGAUGUCAUCCAUGCUUACAUUGAGGACAACAAUGUGACACACCCUAUAGAUUUGGAUCCAUUUGCAUUAUAAUUAGCAAAAUAAAAUUGGAAAUAUCAUGAAAUAGUCGUUGAUAUUUUUGAAAUAGGGAAAACAUACCAACUGGGACAAAAUAGUCUUCGUGUCCGUUUCAGAAGAUUUUAGCUGACAAUUCAAGCACAUAUAUGGAUAACAUUCCUUGUCAACAAUGUUAUACACGUAAGUCACACCUCUUCUUCUACCUUAAAAACCGCACAACUAAUCUGGUAUAUAUUAAAAGGGAAACAAGUGGACAUUGCCUGAAUAAUAUCCAAUAAAAUUUGGUUGAUUGUGGAUUCUACGAAGAAACGUGUCCUUGGAUUCCUUGGCUUAGUGAUAGGAUUGUGUAGACAUCUAGGUGUUGACAUUUUAGAUCAUCUCAUCUCAUGAAUAUAAUUAUGUUGGAUGAGAAUUUCAUUACACGAUACUGCACAGGACGUAGAGAAAGAGUACCACCACCACCACCACAAGAGCCUCAUGUUACACCUAUUGAACCUCAACUAGAGUCAAUAAGUUUUAAUAUUAUGAAUCUUGCUAUGAAAGCCUAUUUUUCCUAUAGUUGGGAUGUCUCUGAGGCAUACCAUAUAGGUAAGUUGUCUAUUAAUGAUUCUUUGAACAUGUUACAUCUACGAAUGCAGGAGCCACAUGCUUCAUUAGAGCAAGUUCCCACUUAGGACGAGUUUAGCAGCUAUUUGCAAUGGCCUACUGAUAGGUCCUUCCAUUAUGAGUGGGGAAGUGGCCAUGCUAGUAAGAGUGAAGCACUCGAAGCCAUAGCAGGGGAUGAAGAAGAAGCGGGAUAUGAUAACAAUGAUAUUGUUAAUGAGAGUGAUAGACAACUCGACUUCUCCAACAUAUUUCAUUUGGUUGCGAGACUGUGGUUUGAGUCAUAACAAGAAGUUUUCUUACUACAACCAAGCAUGAAGUCUGGCCAAUGUUCUUCGUUUCUGAAGCAGAAGAACUCUGAAAGUUGUGAAUCCAGUGUAUACACAAGCUCGUGAUGUGUAUCAAAAUGUCAUUGUGGAGACAAAGUUGUGAUUCAUAUGCAAUAACUCAUAAAAAAUUUGGAAAGAAUUUUUGGGGUUGUCCAAAUUUUAAGGGAUCCUUACAAAUAGGGUGUGGUUUUUUCAAUUUGUUACAUGAAGAUUUGGGAGAUGAGAAGGGGAAAUUUAUGAUGAAUACGUUGGAAAGCUAGCAAAGGAAAUUGAUGAUGCAAAAAAGGAGUUUGAAAAAGUCAGGGUGAAAAAUGAAGAAUUAGGGAAAGUUGUGAUGGAACUUCAAAUUUAAGUGAACAAGAUCUUAAAGUGGAAAAAACAUGGAAUAUUAUGUUUCUUGUAAUCUUAUGUGUAUUGUUUCUUAGGAUGUUUUAGAAGUAUGUACCAGUUUGUAUGUAUCAGUUUGUAAGGAUGAGGUGGUAUGUAUCAAUUUGUACCAGUUAUCAAUAUCGUUUGAAUCAUUAUAUUGUUAUGGAUGAGUUCGUAUGUAACACAUUGUAUCAGUUUAAUAUGAGAUGGUUUGUUUGGAAGAUUA
Lathyrus oleraceus (garden pea) is the source of this 2665-nucleotide long non-coding RNA. RefSeq lists it as uncharacterized. NCBI's taxonomy places the organism in Eukaryota, Viridiplantae, Streptophyta, Magnoliopsida, Fabales, Fabaceae. The transcript has 3 exons. The record is from RefSeq and is a predicted model, not a curated record.